RNAcentral lists this ribosomal RNA (479 nucleotides) under uncultured bacterium. RNAcentral's name for it is "partial 16S ribosomal RNA". It matches the Rfam family "Bacterial small subunit ribosomal RNA", at positions 28 to 507 of the family's 1533-position model. The record is from RNAcentral.
GAUGAACGCUAGCGGGAGGCCUAACACAUGCAAGCCGAGCGGUAGAGUUUCUUCGGAAACUUGAGAGCGGCGCACGGGUGCGUAACACGUGUGCAACCUACCUUUAUCUGGGGGAUAGCCUUUCGAAAGGAGGAUUAAUACCCCAUAAUAUAAUGAUUGGCAUCAAUUAUUAUUGAAAACUCCGGUGGAUAGAGAUGGGCACGCGCAAGAUUAGAUAGUUGGUGAGGUAACGGCUCACCAAGUCAAUGAUCUUUAGGGGUCCUGAGAGGGAGAUCCCCCACACUGGUACUGAGACACGGACCAGACUCCUACGGGAGGCAGCAGUGAGGAAUAUUGGACAAUGGGUGAGAGCCUGAUCCAGCCAUCCCGCGUGAAGGAUGACGGUCCUAUGGAUUGUAAACUUCUUUUGUACAGGGAUAAACCUACCCUCGUGAGGGUAGCUGAAGGUACUGUACGAAUAAGCACCGGCUAACUCCGUG